GGGCGUGUGUUGCAGUGGUAGCAUUCUAGACUUCGAGGUCGAGAACUGGAGUCAUCUAGCGGUCGCGGGUUCGAAUCCUGCCGUGCCCU
Non-coding RNA from Cryptococcus depauperatus CBS 7841, 89 nucleotides. The record is from Rfam. NCBI's taxonomy places the organism in Eukaryota, Fungi, Basidiomycota, Tremellomycetes, Tremellales, Cryptococcaceae.